UUAGAGGAAGUAAAAGUCGUAACAAGGUUUCCGUAGGUGAACCUGCGGAAGGAUCAUUACUGAAGUAUCAUAAUAAGUUGUUGCUGGUCUUUCAAAGGCAAUGGUGCACACUUGUUAUUCUUCAUUUCUCCAUCAUUUGUGCAUCACUUGUGUGGAUCACGGUUAGGACUGCUUUGCAAAGUUGCUAUUUGUGGGGCUUUCCUUGUAAUCUUUUGGUCUACAUGUUUUUCACAUACACCGAUGUUUAGAAGGAAAAUUUUUUUGAAUGAAUUGUUAUACAACUUUCAGCAACGGAUCUCUUGGCUCUCGCAUCGAUGAAGAACGCAGCGAAAUGCGAUAAGUAAUGUGAAUUGCAGAAUUCAGUGAAUCAUCGAAUCUUUGAACGCAUCUUGCGCUCCUUGGUAUUCUGAGGAGCAUGCCUGUUUGAGUGUCAUUAAUAUCUCAACCACAUACAUUUUGGCAUGUGGCUUGGACUUGGAGGAAUGUGCAGGCUCUGACUCUUGUAGUCUGCUCCUCUGAAAAAUAUGAGUGGUACCUAUAUUGGAACUCUGGCUAGGUGUGAUACAUAUCUGCAUCUAAUCAAGGUUACCUAUUUGGUUAUGCUGCUAAUUUAUUACAACUUGAUAAACUUGACCUCAAAUCAGGUAGGACCACCCGCUGAACUUAAGCAUAU
This 673-nucleotide ribosomal RNA is filed under the name Inocybe sp. 2 RG-2012. RNAcentral describes it as "eukaryotic LSU rRNA". The stretch from base 280 to 433 matches the Rfam family "5.8S ribosomal RNA". The record is from RNAcentral. Lineage: Eukaryota; Fungi; Basidiomycota; Agaricomycetes; Agaricales; Inocybaceae.